This 6308-nucleotide long non-coding RNA is filed under the name Heterocephalus glaber (naked mole-rat). Its description in RNAcentral is "lncRNA (ENSHGLG00100042302.1)". Lineage: Eukaryota; Metazoa; Chordata; Mammalia; Rodentia; Bathyergidae. The record is from RNAcentral.
CCAACCCGGAAGGACCACGGAUUUGCUGGCCAAGUUAGAGCUGAGCUUGCCAAGUUAGACAUGAUUUCAUGCCGUGGGGCUUUUUCUAGGGCUGGCUCUGUUUUCUUUAGCCUAUCGCCUGCUUAAAUUGGGGCCAGGAAGUGGCAGGUGAGGAGGCAGCCCCAGGAAAUAGUCCAGGAGGAUUCGUGGGGAGGGGCGUGCUUUUCCCCUCGAUCAGCAAGCACCGAGUCCCUUUCAACACCCAGAAAUAGACGCCACUGAGCUCUCUCUCCUCUGACCAUAAAAAGCAGCUGGCCCUGUAGGGAAGGCUGGCGGCUGCAAGCUCCAGGAGGCAGGAGCAGGAAUAAAGGCUGCCUGAGGAGCCUGGGAGUCCUGCUGCUGGCUCGAUGCUGGAGCCAUUCAGUCUCCUGGGCAAGAAACCCACCAGCUGAACACAGGCCGAGUCUCGCAAACAGUCCUGCGGCCACGGGGGCUCGGGCCACUCCUCGUUUCUGAGCUACGCCCUGUGACUAUUUACUAAAACUCGCCAGGCCGCUGCUGCUCUGUGAUGACCUCGAACCCGAACUUCAGCCCGAACCCGAACCCGCGUCACACUGCAGGCAGCCACUUCUGUGACGCAGUUCUAGCUCUUUGCACCGGGUUUUGCGUGCUCGUCUGACAUGCGUUCGGGGAAACUGAGCAUCCGGGAGCCGGUGUAAGCCGUGACCGCAGCCUGAGGAGCCGGGCCCUCCUGCGGGGGUUGAAUGCCGGGUCCCUGGCACGCGGAGGAGAGGCGGUGGGAGGCGGGGCGCGGCCGGAGCGCUGCACGCCGCUGGCCUCUGCCCCGCAGGCCUGGCCGAGAGCGGGAGGCGCCCGGCUGGGCCCCACAGACACCGGGACUGUGGCCAUCAGGCCAGGGCCAGGGACUCCCGUCUGCACCCGGCCUCUAGGGCCCUCACUCCCACAGCGCCCCCCAGCGGCACAGGGCCUCCUGGACGGAACUGAAAGUCUGAAAGUCCUGCCGGGCGACGCUCUGUUUGCACGUUUCGUCCACGUCUGCAGUGCAUCGUGACUGCGCUCCUCCCGUGGCGAAGGGACUGAAUGUUCCCAGGAGAAAUGGAGUUCUCUCCAACUGUUACUCAUGAAGAGGGCUGAUCCACCAAAGAACAAAUUCUUGGGAGAACUCAUACAAAUUUUUUUUCUACAUAAUUCUGUUAGUGUAUUUUCUUUGCUGGCUUUUAUUCAAAAGUUUAUUCAUAGAAGAUUGGAAGGAGCAAAGUUUAUAGUGCUUAUAAGAAUUUUUAAUUCCCAAAUGAUUCUUUUACAUAAUUAUUAAUUAUGAGCAAUAUAAUAAAGAAGUUCCAAUUUAAAUGGUUUCAUUAUAUUUCAUAGUUGGCCAAGUCAAAAGUUAAUAUCAUCAAUUUAUUCACAUUCCUAAGCAGAGCUGACUUCUUGCUCAAGUCUUAACUGAGACAAAGCCUACCUGCUGGGGCAGGCCAUUAAAUUUGAUCUUAUAAUUGUGUGUUCUUCUUGACCCAGUGCAUGCUUUUAUGAUUAUAUUGUAUUGUCUACCAAUAUAAAGACUGAGUUUAAACUAUUCAGAGUGUGAAAGUCAUGUUGAAGAUUUAGAAAAUCAUCAUUAUAGUCAGCAAACAAUUCUGUGCCAUUUACAGUGUAGUCUGCGAUGUAUCCUGUGGCCAUGGACUAUAGAUGUACAUAUCAUCAUCAAAGGGUCACCUAAAUGUCUCCUUACCAAAAUAAAAGGGCCUCCUCUUUCCUAUAACUUUUCCUAAGUACCUUAUCAAUAAUCUUUGUGGUUUUCUAUUUAACCUUUCUCUAAUUUUUCAAUGUCACUUAUAAAUAAUGAGUCCAGAAUCAUACAUUUGGGUUUUUAAAGGAAUCUGACAGGAGAUGUCUUUCUGUUUUUGUUUCAUGAGGGUGAUGUAGUAAUAUCCAUUUAUCCACAGGUCAAACUCCGCAAGGGCAGCCAUUGGUGUAAUCAGCAAAAAGCCAUCCUGCAGCUGGAAAAAAAUUACAUCUUUGAAUAAGUAGGUAAAACAAAUCUUUUAGGAAAGAGGAAAAACCCCACAGUUGGCUGUGUGGCAGAGGACUGUCUUUUGUCUUUCCUUCCUGUGCCUUUCCCAGUGGGGUUCUCUUAUUUCUGUCAUCCUGCUGUGUCCUGUAUUGGCUCAACUUCAGUCCCAACACAUUUGUUUUCUUUAUUUCCAUAGUGCUGCUGGAGGAGUUUAACAUUUUGGAAAAGAAACUCAAUAAAAACUAAGGAGAAUAUAUAUUUAAAAAAUAAAAAAAUGCAAAUACCCUGAAAAUAACCAAUUUUGCAAACUACAGGGUUUGGAAUUGAAGAAAACCAAACACUUGCCAUCAUCUACUGCUACAACCAUGGGUUCCUUUCCUCCCAGCAGCUCAGAUUCUUUGCCUCUGGUCCUCACACCCCAACCCAAAGGCCCAAAUAACUCAUGGUGGGAACAUCAGGUACCUGAAGUUUAAAUGUAUCCUUCUAUGGGAAGAACCAGAGUGGAACUAUCAAAACAGGAGGAAGAACUGCUUUUAGUACUCCCUCAUGCAUGGCCACAUCUGCCAUCCCCUUCUCAUGCCCUUUCCUCUGUCUUCAGGAAGGACAAUGAAGGGGGUGAGGAAAUUCCAAGAUCAUCUCUUGGUAGAAAAGAGGAACACGUAGCCCUCCCUACCUGGACUUCUGCCUGGACCUCUGCUGUAAGCUUCAGUGCUGUACAGGGUGAUUGCACCUUCUUAAUUUUCCAGAGUCUCUGAAAGAGAAAGGAAGCCAAUCUUGCCCUCCAGGAAAUGGGGGACAAUGUUGACUGUCACCACUUUGUACAGCUAUUGCUUGUUUAACAACUGUUAUGGCUUGCAUUUAGAUGUCCCCCAAAGCCUCACGUGGUCAUAGGUGGGGCUUUUUCAGAGGUGGCUAAAUCUAGACUGUGCAAUGCUGGAAUUGAUUCAUGAUGCAAUGCUAAGAUGAAGGGCACUAGGAUUAAAGGUGUGAGUGCUACCCACCCUAAGUAGCUGAAUAAGAUGUAAGGGAUAGAAAGAACUGUUGUUGUCCCUUGUUGCUUUUGCUACCUUCUGCCCCAUCAUGAACUCUUUCUCUUCUAUGAUGCCUGUCUGCCUUGCCAGCCUGCCUUGGAGCCAGAUGCUUAUAGACUAAAAUCUGCAGAAACUGUGAGCUAAAUAAACUUUUCCUCCCUUAACUUGUGAAUAUUGGGUAUUUUGUCUCAACAAGAAAAGUAACUAAUACAGAAUUUGGUACCAGGAGUGAGGUUGUUGCUGUGACUAUACCUGACCAUAUGGUUCAGGAGUUUGACAAGAGUUUGUAAAGGUUCAGCGAUACUGGCUAAAAAGGUAGAGCUGGAACACCUUAGGUUAUACUUGAUGGAAGAUUCUGGUCAGAGCUCAAAAGACCAAAAGGCUGAUAGAAAUCCUUCUAGUAAGGAAGGAUAGGAAUCCUUCCAGUAAAGACCAGGAUUGAGAUAUUUCUGCUGGAAAGAAACACCUCAUUAGCUGUUAGAUUCCAGACAAUAUGUGUUACACUUUCAUAGAAAGUUUGUCUACAUUUUGCUCAUGUCCAGAGACUUUGCCUAAGACUAAGAUUAAGGGUGGCAGACUAAUGAAUCUUCCAGAAAAAAUUUUGAGGAAGUCUAAUGUUGAGUCCAUGACAUAGCUUCUGUUGGGGGCUUCUAGCCAGAUCUAUGUUGAGAAUCAAGACCAAAGGGGCCAACAGAAUGACUUAAAACAUUGUAAGUUUGGCCAAAAAAAAUAAAAAUCAAUGGUCUGUGGACUGCAAAGAUAGAGCAGAAGAGAUCUUACUUGCAGCAGCAAAAAAAAAAAAAAAAAAAACAAAAACCCAAAAAACAAAAGAAUUAAAAAGAUGGUCUAAGGACAUCACAUGAAACAGCAGGACUCCAGCCUUUACAGUCUUAAAAUUGCAAAAGUAAAAGACUUUGCUUUAAAAAGAGAGCCCAGACCAUGUUCCAGAAUGGCAGUGGCCUAGGAAAGCUUUAUUUUCAGGAUUUGGUUCAGAGGCACUGGACCCCUACAGCCAAGAGAGAAGGAAGCCCGGCUACUGCUCCAGCUGGUGGCAGACCUUGGCAUCAUCCACGUGGUGCUGGUUUUAGGCACAUGCAGAUUGUGGGAGUUGUGGUGUCAGGAAGGCUUCCACCCAGAUUUCAGAAGAAGGCCUGGGAGGCAAGGCUGUGUGCCCCUGAGAGGGCAAGGGAAACAAUGCAAAAGAGAUCCCAAAAGUUGAGAGAAGCCAAGAACAUGGAUUGUCUGAGGAAAACUAUAGAGAGAGCAGAGCUGGCCCCAGAGAGAAGCCAUAUCAGCUACAGCAAGUGGCAGUGCUGUACAGACAGAGCCACCCAAGCCCUUUGGAGUUCACAACUUGCAAAUUGCAGAGCAUGCUGAAAGUGAAACUGUGAGAUUUGAUGUUUGCCCUGCGAGAUUUGGGUCUUGCUUUGUUAUCAUUCCUUGCUGUCCUUCUGUUUGUAACUUUAAAAAUAGAAGUGUCUAUCUUGUGCCAUCAAAUGUUAAAAGUGUUUAACUUUCUUUUCAUUUGUACAGGGGCUUGCAGCUAAGAGUUUGCCUUAAAUCUCAGAGGAGACUUGGGUCUUGGACUUUUCAGCAGUGCUGAAACUGUCAGGAUUUUGUCACCUCUUAGAGACGGACUCCAUGCCUUUUGCAUAAAGAGAUGUGCAUGAGUCUAGGGGGAGGGGCCAGGGGAUGAAUGCUUUGGCUUCUGUCUAGAUGUCCGCCUAAAGGCUCAUGUGGUCAUACGUGAUGGUUUUUUGGAGGUGGCUAGAUCUAGUGUGUGUGACUCUGGAAUUGAUGCAGUGCUUGGCUCGAGGCCAUUAGGAUUAAGGGUGUGAGUGCUGCCUGCCCUAAGUAGCCUGGAUAAGAAAGAGCUGUGGUUGUCCCUUGUUGCUUUGGUGCCUUUGCUCACCAUGAACUGUUUCUCCUCUGUGAUACCUGCCUGCCAUGCCACCCUGCUUUGGACCCAGCCUAAAACCUCUACAAACUGUGAGCUACAUAAACCCUUUUUCCCUUAACUUGUGGGUGUUGGGUAUUUUGUCUCAACAAUGGAAAAAUGUAACUAAGACAAUGACCUACCGUUUUAAUGACUGUUCAGGCUUAUGACCCUCCACUUGGACUUACACCCAAAUUCAGACUUACAACAAAAGAAUGCAAGCAGCAGUGCAGCCUUAUGGUGGCUCCUUCUACAGUGCUGUGAUUUUUGCUGAUUGUACUGUACUGUAGUUUUACGUUCUGUUAUACAUUACAGUAGCAUGUAAGAGUUAUGCAAAUAAAAGCAAAGUCAUCCAGUUGGAGUUUCUUUUGACCAUUUCUUUGUUCAGAAAAGUGUAAUGUGCAUACUGUAUACAAUUCCUCAUUUAGGGACCAAGUCGUUUAAUGACCCAGUUGCAGAAGCACAGCUAUGUCAUUAAGCAAGGAAUGUCCAUGACUCCUGUCAGCGACCUCUAAUGAAGAGACCAGUAAUGUUCCUGAGUAUCCCACAACACAACAAAGAGGUAUGCAGUUAAAAAAAAAAAUUGUCAAUAAGGCCAAGUUGAAAAACCCUGCAUUGAAACCAUAAAUAGCUAAUACAUUUUAGAUAUAUUCUGGAAACUGCCAUUGAAAAGUGAUUAUAGAUUUGAGAGUUUUCAAGGAGUAUCUUUUAGUCUAUAGUAAACUCAGGAUACAAUUAAAAAUAUCUCUUUAGAUGAAAACGAGAAACACCUUUACUGUCCAAAUUCUUUGGACAGUCAUCCAUAAUUUACUGAUCUGUGAGUAGGUUUAGAAAUUCUGGUGGAACUUAGGAAAAACAAACCUGUCCCCUCAGCUUUAAUAGUGUGAUCCAUGUGUUGUGGUCACAGCAUUCUGAGGGGUGAGUAUGGAACAUUUGUGCUCCCACAGGGACUGUUCCCUCACUGCCUCAGUAGCAGCUCCUUUUAGGCAAGUGUUCCAGCUUCACUAAUUUUUGAAGUUUUUGGUAAUGUUUUAUUUUUUAUUAGUCCACGUUUGCAGAACAUUAAUGACCACAUUCCUCCCGGGAAAUCGGUGCAUGCACACGAUACAGCUUAAGUCUUUUUUCACCGCAUUCUCUCCUCCCUCCCUGCCUCUUUCUCCUCCCUUCAUCACUCCAUCCCCUUUCUCUUAGAGAAGGACCUGUCUCCCUACUUCCUGUUAUCUAUCUUUUAUUUUCUCUUUGGGUUUCUCAUAUAAAAGAAACCAUGCCACAUUAAAGCUUGUGGGCCUGAUUUACUUCACUUAACAUCAUGGUCUCGAGGUGCAUC